GGGGAGUCAUAUAAAUGACUUUAUUUAUUGGGUGGUCACGCUACCUACCGAUCGGCGCAUAAGGAUGGGGAGUCAUAUAAAUGACUAUUUAUUGGGUGGUUACGCUAUCUACCGAUCGACGCUUAAGGAUGGAGAGUCAUAUAAUUGACCUUAUGCUAUUAGAUGGUCACAUAGUUAACCAUCGGACGAUGCAUAAGGGUGGGAUAGUC
Molecule: long non-coding RNA, 209 nt
Filed under: Vigna radiata
Lineage: Eukaryota; Viridiplantae; Streptophyta; Magnoliopsida; Fabales; Fabaceae
Description: long non-coding RNA (VRAD_LNC000642)
Source: RNAcentral